Molecule: long non-coding RNA, 361 nt
Filed under: Rattus norvegicus (Norway rat)
Lineage: Eukaryota; Metazoa; Chordata; Mammalia; Rodentia; Muridae
Description: long non-coding RNA NONRATT031983
Source: RNAcentral
UUUUACUCUAUAAGAAAGUGAGGAAUGUAUUACUCGGGACUCUAAAAAUGUGCUUGUUUCGUUCUCUCACAACAGAGAGUAAAUGAAAAAUCACUAUCCACUGACUGCAAAAAACUUUAUUCCAUUUGAUUUUCAUAGGUGAUCAUCAUAUCUACUGAACCCGAAUAUAUAGUACUGCAAAGCACCUACUUACUCCACAUCUCUGUAGCUGCCACAUGUACUGGGGUUUUAGUAUGAAGAAAGGAUACUUAAAAUAGCAGACGUGGAGCAGCAGAAGUCCAUGGAACCUGAACAUUAAAACUACAUUCAUUUCCCAUGGAAUCCUGCAACUAGUACAUAAAGAGAUUUUUGCACUCUGGAU